This 203-nucleotide microRNA precursor is filed under the name Medicago truncatula (barrel medic). RNAcentral describes it as "MIR2670 microRNA precursor family". It matches the Rfam family "MIR2670 microRNA precursor family". The record is from Rfam by way of RNAcentral. Lineage: Eukaryota; Viridiplantae; Streptophyta; Magnoliopsida; Fabales; Fabaceae.
UUUGGAGGAAAUAGUGGUCCGUUAAGUGAAAAAAGACAUCAUCCUGUGAGAUAAAAUUAGGUUUGUUUCCUUUUACUCCUAAAAUCUUUUUACCGUGGGUAAAAAGAAUCAAUAUGGGGGUAUAAAAGGAACCAAAUUUAAAUUUAACUCAAGGGUUCCUGAUGCCGUUUUCCCCAACAAGACGGAUCACUAUUUUCCCCAAG